RNAcentral lists this ribosomal RNA (513 nucleotides) under uncultured bacterium. Its description in RNAcentral is "bacterial SSU rRNA". It matches the Rfam family "Bacterial small subunit ribosomal RNA", at positions 337 to 865 of the family's 1533-position model. The record is from RNAcentral.
UCCUACGGGAGGCAGCAGCAGGGAAUCUUGGGCAAUGGGCGAAAGCCUGACCCAGCGACGCCGCGUGGAGGAAGAAGUCCUUCGGGGCGUAAACUCCUGGACUGGGGGACGAGGAAGGACGGUACCCCAGUAGAAAGGGACGGCUAACUACGUGCCAGCAGCCGCGGUAAAACGUAGGUCCCGAGCGUUGUUCGGAUUCACUGGGUGUAAAGGGCGCGUAGGUGGUUGUCUGUGUCUCAUGUGAAAACUCAGGGCUCAACUCUGAGAUUGCGUGGGAAACUAGGCAGCUAGAGGACGGUAGAGGGGAGUGGAAUUCCCGGUGUAGCGGUAAAAUGCGUAGAUAUCGGGAGGAACACCGGUGGCGAAGGCGGCUCUCUGGGCCGAUCCUGACGCUGAGGCGCGAAAGCUAGGGGAGCGAACCGGAUUAGAUACCCGGGUAGUCCUAGCCGUAAACGAUGGGUGCUAGGUGUUGGGGGGUAAAGACCCUUCAGUGCCGAAGCCAACGCGAUAAGC